This 86-nucleotide small nucleolar RNA is filed under the name Buceros rhinoceros silvestris. RNAcentral describes it as "Small nucleolar RNA SNORD127". It matches the Rfam family "Small nucleolar RNA SNORD127". Lineage: Eukaryota; Metazoa; Chordata; Aves; Bucerotiformes; Bucerotidae. The record is from Rfam by way of RNAcentral.
CGGCAACAAUGAUGACAGGAGUCGUACCUGUAUGUAAUGUGUCAUUACCACGUGGAGACACCAGUCCCUCUAAGCUGAUGUUGCCG